This 583-nucleotide ribosomal RNA is filed under the name Nemania serpens. Its description in RNAcentral is "eukaryotic LSU rRNA". The stretch from base 224 to 377 matches the Rfam family "5.8S ribosomal RNA". Lineage: Eukaryota; Fungi; Ascomycota; Sordariomycetes; Xylariales; Xylariaceae. The record is from RNAcentral.
AAGUCGUAACAAGGUCUCCGUUGGUGAACCAGCGGAGGGAUCAUUACAGAGUUAUCAAAACUCCCAAACCCAUGUGAACAUACCUCGCGUUGCCUCGGCAGGUGGCGUCUCGCCCCGUAAGAACCUACCCUGUAGGAACGUACCCGGUAGACGACCCUGCCGACGGCCCCCGAAACUCUGUUUUAUAGCAUUAAACUUCUGAAAACAUAACUAAAUAAGUUAAAACUUUCAACAACGGAUCUCUUGGUUCUGGCAUCGAUGAAGAACGCAGCGAAAUGCGAUAAGUAAUGUGAAUUGCAGAAUUCAGUGAAUCAUCGAAUCUUUGAACGCACAUUGCGCCCACUAGUAUUCUGGUGGGCAUGCCUGUUCGAGCGUCAUUUCAACCCUUAAGCCCCUGUUGCUUAGCGUUAGGAGCCUACCGGAACUCUCUGGUAGCUCCCCAAAGUCAGUGGCGGAGCCGGUUCGCACUCCAGACGUAGUAGCUUUUACACGUCGCCUGUAGCGCGGGCCGGUCCCCUGCCGUAAAACACCCCAAUUUUUAUAGGUUGACCUCGGAUCAGGUAGGAAUACCCGCUGAACUUAA